GUAGGGGAGUGGUAGAGGGAGAGAUGAAUGACUAGAAGGAGGUACAGUAGAGGAGUGGUAGAGGGAGAGAUGAAUGAGGAGAAGGAGGUACAAUAGAGGAGUGGUAGAGGGAGAGAUGAAUGAGGAGGAGGUACAGUAGAGGAGUGGUAGAGGGAGAGAUGAAUGAGAAGAAGGAGGUAGAGGAGUGGUAGAGGGAGAGAUGAAUGAGGAGAAGGAGGUACAGUAGAGGAGUGGUAGAAGGAGAGAUGAAUGAGAAGAAGGAGGUAGAGGAGUGGUAGAGGGAGAGAUGAAUGAGGAGAAGGAGGUACAGUAGAGGAGUGGUAGAAGGAGAGAUGAAUGAGAAGAAGGAGGAAGAGGAGUGGUAGAGGGAGAGAUGGAGGAGAAGGAGGUAGAGGAGUGGUAGAAGGAGAGAUGAAUGAGGA
RNAcentral lists this long non-coding RNA (422 nucleotides) under Salmo salar (Atlantic salmon). RNAcentral describes it as "lncRNA (ENSSSAG00000089197.1)". Lineage: Eukaryota; Metazoa; Chordata; Actinopteri; Salmoniformes; Salmonidae. The record is from RNAcentral.